AGGUGAAGGCAGACAGGCUCUGUUGAGUCACUGGUCACUUGUCACAGUUCCACCAGUCAUGGUUUCCUCAGCAUUCAUCCUGUGGGGUGUCACUGAAGGAUCCACAGAAGAGGCUGUUACUUGUACUGUCGUCGCUCUGCUGAGUAUCCUGAUGUUGUUUUUUAUGGACACAGAACAAUUAUUUCCAGAUGUAUCAGGCACUAAUAUAUAUCUGGCUCGGAGAAUAGGAAGCACCAUCAUCAUCAUAGCUGUAUUCACAGGUAAGUUUAAAUAUCAUUAAUGUAUAUGAAACAUCAGCAGUAAAUCAGGAGAAAGUAGCAGAUUCUGGUAAAAUA
Non-coding RNA from Paramormyrops kingsleyae, 335 nucleotides. Lineage: Eukaryota; Metazoa; Chordata; Actinopteri; Osteoglossiformes; Mormyridae. The record is from RefSeq and is a predicted model, not a curated record.